Molecule: non-coding RNA, 1027 nt
Organism: Hydra vulgaris (swiftwater hydra)
Lineage: Eukaryota; Metazoa; Cnidaria; Hydrozoa; Anthoathecata; Hydridae
Source: RefSeq, a predicted model, not a curated record
CAUUUAACCAGGAAGUUCACGCCUCCUUCCUUACCAUGACGCGAAAUAUGUCCAAAGCUCGUUUUGAACCUGGAUCUCCUGCUUAUAAAGCAUAUGAUCUAACCACUGCGCCACGGCCGCACAAUAUUUGGCAUAACUUUUUUGUGAAUCAAGAAGCUCGUUUUGAUCAGUUUAGAAAAUUAAAAGGUUUAAAGAAAGAUAAGCGCUAGAAAAAGAAUGAGCUAAAACAAAGUGAAGUUACAUUAUAUUUUUAAAUAUAUUAGUUGAGGUUGAGAGUUUAUGUUCACUUAUUUUAGUUUAAAAGACAUCUUUGUCAGACACUUGUCUCAGAAAGCCAUAGCUAUUCAAAGGCGUCUAAAUUUUAUUACGCCUAAUACAGGUCUUUAAACGUCUUUAAAAAACGCUGAGAAGAGAAAUGUUUUUUUUUUUAAUAUUGUUACUCUGUAGAAGUUACUGAUAUACCUGUUACUUCAAUGAAGUUUUCAUUCUAUUUAUAAAAUAUUUUAUUUUUUCUUCAAACCUAAUAUUUGUUUAACUUUCUACAGGUAAUACUAAUAUGAAAACAAUUUUUAUUGUUUUUUGAUUUAUACUCGGGUAAAAUAUUCGUUUUCUUAUUUUAAUUUAUUGUUAAAACAUAUAUUUUUUCAUUAUUUUAUUUUAUGGUUAUUUUCAAGAGAAGGCAGAGACACCAACAAAAAGCUUUGAAGUUAAUAAUAGUGAAGAGGAGGCAGAUAAUUAUAAAAAUCUUUGCAGCUAAAGACAGUGAAGAAUCGAGUCGAAGUACUGUAGCCAGCUGGGCUACGCUCACUGGAUGAAUUGCAAAUUAAAACUGAUUUAAUACAAAGACGGCAUAAGUUUGCUGAAAGUUAUACAAAUGGAGAAGUAUUGGUGCGUUUCUUUCCACAUGUAGAAGUUAAUGCAUAUAGAAAGAGAGAUAAAGGAUGGUUUGUGAACUGAAAAUGUUUAUACUACUUCAAUGUUAAAUGAUAUCUCUAAAAAAGACAAAAAAAAAAUGAUGAAAAAUUAA